Molecule: long non-coding RNA, 265 nt
Filed under: Ananas comosus (pineapple)
Lineage: Eukaryota; Viridiplantae; Streptophyta; Magnoliopsida; Poales; Bromeliaceae
Description: long non-coding RNA (ACOM_LNC042309)
Source: RNAcentral
CACUUUCUUACUUUCACAUAAUUGGGGCAUUGGUAUUUGAGCGAGGUUUCGAUAGCGUGGGUUUUAUUAACUUGCGCUUUUAUGAUGUUGAUGUAAUGAUGCCGACUGCACGCUCUAAGUCUGUUGGAGCGGACGACGCGGCAACCUUUGAGGAGGCGGAGAUAUCCACUACCUCCGGAUUCGGCGAGGUCCGUGAGUUGAGGAGCCAGCUUGCGGCCCUCACUGACUUGGUGACGCAGCAGGUGGCGGCGGCUCGACAGCAUGC